AUGGGGGCCUUCCAGAAACUGGCAUCUUUCCAGGAACUGGUGUCUUUAGUCUACUGUUUAGCCUUCAUAGUAGUUCAUUGAUGGCAGGAAAUUGUUGUUGAAGACAAUUUUAACUUCCUUUUACUAUCUGAUACAGAAGUUCCUAUUGCCUUGCUGUUAUAUCCUGUUAUAUUUUUAAUGGUUUGAUUGUUUUAGUUUUAUGGCUUUAUUAUUGGCAUAUGCUGCCUUUAGCAUUAAAAGGGCAGUACAGAGAAAGAAACACAAGCAUUUAAAAAAAAACUCCUAGACUCCUUUAUCAAUCCUACUGCAGAACAAAAUUCCACUCUAGAUUUAUGGUGGUAAUCCAGAGUAGAUUCACCCUUAUAUGGUUCAUGAGAAAAAUGGAGCAGGGGUAAUGUGGAGCAAGUGGAUUCUGUGCCAUUGUGAUUCAUCCAUUUAUAUCUCAUUUGCCCACACUACUGGAACUUGAGAUGACUUAUAAAAAUUAAAGGAUUCACAUGCUAAAUACAUCAAGAAAACAUAUGUGAAAACAUGUUGAUAUAUAAUGCAUAAAUGUACUUAUGCAAUCCAUAGAAUUAAAACCCUGAGAAACAAAUCCAUUACAAGAAACAGGACAAAAUCAGCAAAGCAGUACCACGCAAAAGUAUGAUUUGCCAGGUUCUUUAUUUCCUUUUCUUGAAGACCUUAUUCAAUUCCUAAUUAGUGUCAGUUAUGGAAAGCACAAUUGUGAAUAACCCUUUCACAUCUUGAUCUCAUAUACAGGAACCAGUUCAGUUAUUUACUUGCUUGAUUCCUGAACCAGGCUUGUUCAGCAUAAUGAAACUACAAGGUGGGUUUUUGUCAACUCUCUUGCCUAUUUUACCAGGCAUUGGUCAAUCCAUUGGGCUUCAUUCCAGCACAAAUGACGCUGAGGAAGACCUUGCAGCGCCAGGAUUAAAGGUAUAAACAGGAUUUCCUUCACAAUACACAGCACUCAAAAUAUUGCAGCAACAUCCAUACUACUAGAUGGAAGAUGAGGGAAAUAAAGAUGAGAGGGUCUGAAAAGCAAAACUUUGAAAAGCAAUUUCUGGACUAUAGCUCUGAAAAUUCCCCAACCACCAUGAUC
This 1105-nucleotide long non-coding RNA is filed under the name Anolis carolinensis (green anole). RNAcentral's name for it is "lncRNA (ENSACAG00000043885.1)". The record is from RNAcentral. Lineage: Eukaryota; Metazoa; Chordata; Lepidosauria; Squamata; Anolidae.